AUAAAAACAUUUUUAUUUCCAUAUAAAAUUUUAACAUUUUACGUUUCUUGAACCCCUAUAUAUACACACACAUAUACACCCACAUACUCAGAUAUAUACACAUCUUCUUCUUCAUAUUCAUGAGAAAAAGAAAAAAAAUAUGUGCAUGGCGGCCAUAGAUAUAAUUUAUAAAGAUUGAUUCACAGUCGUUUUUUGCUGCUGUAGCAUCAUCAAGAUUCACAUGCAAAUGCAACGAUGGUGAUGAUAAUAUAUAAUUAUAUAUAUAUAUAUUCUUGAUUAUGAACCAGCCGAGUUGUUUUGAAAAUGGGAAUCUUGAUGAUGCUGCAUCGGCAAUAAACGACUUUACCGGCAAACUCUUUCGAUCAAGAAAUUGAUUUUUGAUUUCUCUUUUUUUCUUGAAAGAUUUUAUUUUUUUUAUUUUUCUUGUUGUUGAGUAUUGUGGAUUCUUUUUCUUUUUAUGGUCAUAUUUUAUGUUUUCUGCAGAGCAAAUAUAGGAUCUUGAUAGGUUAUUUUUUGUUGUGUCAGAUCUAUGUUUAUUCCCAUUUUAGGAAUUUAAACGCUUUUUUUCUUUUAUUGGUAAGAUUUUCUUGCAGAGAUUUGAUAGAAUUACUACAAAUUUUCUUGAUUUUGAAUAUUCCGCAGGUAGAAGAGCCCUAAUGAAUUCUGCUAGCUGAUGCUCUAAUUUUCCUUUUUCUGGAAACAAAACAACAAGAAGAAAAGUCCAAUUAACAACAAUCCUGAAGAUGGUGAUGAUACAUAAGCUGAAGUUGAAGAACAGAAAAAUAAAAAAUAAAAUAUAAGCUAAAGCAAGAAUAUAUAUAUAGUAUAUAAUAUAUAGUUAAGAGAUAUAUAAUUUUGUUGGUAUAUAUACAAGUAGAUUGAGUUGAUGAUAUCAGCUUACUGAAGUUUGGAUUUGGGUUCUCAAAUGCACCAAAGGAUUAAUUAUUUGUCUUUGUCUUCAUUUAAAAUGAUUCAAAUAAUUAUUUUAUAGACAUUCUUGCAAGUUGUAAGUUGUUUUCUUUUUCUUUUUAAGUGUAUUUGGAUUUUGUAGAUCAUUGAGAACUGGAAAACUCAAAUGGUGGGAACAUUGACACACUGUCACUGCCAUUGUUGUGUUGGCUUCAGCUUUCAUUCUUGCUCUGGUGGACCAACUAUACAUGGACUAUAUUUGAUUGCAAAUCUCCUAUACAUUUAUGGCAUUUUUCUUUCUAUCUUUGGCUA
Mercurialis annua (annual mercury) is the source of this 1221-nucleotide long non-coding RNA. RefSeq lists it as uncharacterized. NCBI's taxonomy places the organism in Eukaryota, Viridiplantae, Streptophyta, Magnoliopsida, Malpighiales, Euphorbiaceae. The record is from RefSeq and is a predicted model, not a curated record. The transcript has 2 exons.